Molecule: ribosomal RNA, 787 nt
Filed under: Microbacterium sp.
Lineage: Bacteria; Bacillati; Actinomycetota; Actinomycetes; Micrococcales; Microbacteriaceae
Description: bacterial SSU rRNA
Rfam family: Bacterial small subunit ribosomal RNA
Source: RNAcentral
GAAGCACCAGCUUGCUGGUGUGGAUUAGUGGCGAACGGGUGAGUAACACGUGAGCAACCUGCCCCGGACUUUGGGAUAAGCGCUGGAAACGGCGUCUAAUACCGAAUAUGCACCAUGAAGGCAUCUUCAAUGGUGGGAAAGAUUUAUCGGUCCGGGAGGGGCUCGCGGCCUAUCAGCUUGUUGGUGAGGUAAUGGCUCACCAAGGCGUCGACGGGUAGCCGGCCUGAGAGGGUGACCGGCCACACUGGGACUGAGACACGGCCCAGACUCCUACGGGAGGCAGCAGUGGGGAAUAUUGCACAAUGGGCGCAAGCCUGAUGCAGCAACGCCGCGUGGGGGAUGACGGCCUUCGGGUUGUAAACCCCUUUUAGUAGGGAAGAAGCCUUCGGGUGACGGUACCUGCAGAAAAAGCGCCGGCUAACUACGUGCCAGCAGCCGCGGUAAUACGUAGGGCGCAAGCGUUAUCCGGAAUUAUUGGGCGUAAAGAGCUCGUAGGCGGCUUGUCGCGUCUGCUGUGAAAACUGGAGGCUCAACUUCCAGCGUGCAGUGGGUACGGGCAGGCUAGAGUGCGGUAGGGGAGAUUGGAAUUCCUGGUGUAGCGGUGGAAUGCGCAGAUAUCAGGAGGAACACCGAUGGCGAAGGCAGAUCUCUGGGCCGUAACUGACGCUGAGGAGCGAAAGAGUGGGGAGCGAACAGGCUUAGAUACCCUGGUAGUCCACUCCGUAAACGUUGGGAACUAGUUGUGGGGGCCUUUCCACGGUCUCCGUGACGCAGCUAACGCAUUAAG